This 215-nucleotide small RNA is filed under the name Homo sapiens (human). Lineage: Eukaryota; Metazoa; Chordata; Mammalia; Primates; Hominidae. The record is from RNAcentral.
GGCCAAGACUGGGACCAGGAAAGAAUGAAAAUGAAAGCCAAGUUUCAACAGAUGAAAGUGAGAACUCCAGGUCUCCUGGAAAUAAAUCAGAUAACAUCAAGCCCAAAUCUGCUCCAUGGAACUCUUUUCUCCCUCCACCACCCCCCAUGCCAGGGCCAAGACUGGGACCAGGAAAGAAUGAAAAUGAAAGCCAAGUUUCAACAGAUGAAAGUGAA